GGAGGGGUGAUCUAGCUGCAACAUCUGUCACCCCAUUGAUUGUUGGGGCUGAUUUGACUGAUUUGGCCAGCUAGGCAGGUGUCUCCUUCCUCCUUCACCAUUCCAUGUGCAUCCCUCCUGAAACUGCACAUUCAGUAGAAGAGGACAACAACCCCUGAUAAAGGAGGAUCCUUCCUCAGUCAAGGGUAGACGAGUAGCCACACUCCCCUGCUAGAGCCUCCAAAGAAGCUCUCAAAAGGAUAACAGAGGAGAUUUAAAAAACAGAUCAGUGAGUUCCUUGGCAUGAUCAU
Molecule: small nuclear RNA, 290 nt
Filed under: Chinchilla lanigera (long-tailed chinchilla)
Lineage: Eukaryota; Metazoa; Chordata; Mammalia; Rodentia; Chinchillidae
Description: 7SK RNA (ENSCLAG00000021719.1)
Rfam family: 7SK RNA
About the family: 7SK was discovered as an abundant small nuclear RNA in the mid-70s but a possible function has only recently been suggested. Two independent studies have found that 7SK RNA binds the CDK9/cyclin T complex (known as elongation factor P-TEFb).
Source: Rfam by way of RNAcentral